UAAGGAAUAUUGCUCAAUGGGAGAAAUCCUGAAGCAGCAACGCCGCGUGGAGGAUGAAGGGUCUAUGACUUGUAAACUCCUGUAAAGAAGGAAAAAAUUCCCAUUUGAUGGGAGAUGAUGGUACUUCUGGAGUAAGCCCCGGCUAACUACGUGCCAGCAGCCGCGGUAAUACGUAGGGGGCAAGCGUUGUCCGGAUUUACUGGGUGUAAAGGGUGCGCAGGCGGGAUGUUAAGUCGGCGGUGAAAUUUUGCAGCUCAACUGUAAAAGUGCCUUCGAUACUGGCCUCCUUGAGUGUGGAUGAANUAGGCGGAAUUUGUGGUGUAGCGGUGAAAUGCUUAGAUAUCACGAGGAACUCCGAUUGCGCAGGCAGCUUACUAAGCCACAACUGACGCUCAUGCACGAAGGCGUGGGGAUCAAACA
This 420-nucleotide ribosomal RNA is filed under the name uncultured bacterium. Its description in RNAcentral is "bacterial SSU rRNA". It matches the Rfam family "Bacterial small subunit ribosomal RNA", at positions 355 to 774 of the family's 1533-position model. The record is from RNAcentral.